UUGAGAAAAAUCGAGUCAAAGUCAUCAAAUGUGAGGCACGAGAAAGGGUAGCCUAUGUGAAAGUCCAGUCUGAGGUGUGGAAACUUUCUUUACAAUGCAAGAGAGAAGCAUUGAAGUGGUCUUCGACUUUGGCAAUUUAGCUUAGCAGUGGCUAAACUGUAGAAUCCAGCUAUAAAAACCGCCACAAAGUUCGAACGUGAGCAGCAAGGCAUCUCGCAGAGUGUUCUUCGGUGUUGCGGCAAAGUCUCAGCAAAGUUUCAAGAAAAAAUCUCGAUCCAUUUUCCCUCUUUUUGCAAGCAUGAAGAAGGUGACACUCUCAACUUGUGGGAGCUGCAAGGGAAAGACUGAUGCACUUAAGAAGAUCAAAGGUAUGUACAAACUUUGGAUUGGAAAUUCGAGAGCCGAUCUCGUGGAUGUUUCUGUUUUUGAACAACAGGGGUUGAUAAGGUGGAAUGGGAGUCGUCAGGCCUGGUAGUGAUCGGCAAAUUUGAUGUGGACGACGUGGUCAAGGCGAUGAAUUGCCACCACAGUGUUCUUCGUUCCAUCGAGAACAAUUACGAGCCCCCAAAGAAGAAGGAAGAGAAGAAGGAAGAGAAGGGGGGCAGUAGCGUUUUGUAUGUUUACGCCCACAACUACAAUCACUACAAUUGGAAGUGAAUUUGUUCUUCUAAUUGCUCUGCAAGAACAAGGGUGUGUAUGAAAUAAUUUCAAGAGUUUCAAAUCUAGAAGAGCACUGAAUUUGACAGAGCAUUUAAUUGUCAGAAUCAUAUCUGAUGUAAGGUUUUCAAAAGUUAGAUCUUUCUAUCUAUUUUUGUUGGUCCCAAUCGUGAAACUGAUGAAUGCAAAAGACUUUGCAUAGCACAAAUGCCGGUGCACGUCGCCGUAGUCAAGGCUAUACUUCUAGAUUCAGUGACAGGAAGAAUCUCACAGCGAGGGAGAGAGAGAGAGAGAGAACAAAGGGCCCAAGAUAAGAACAACCUUUUGUUUAAUGUCUAUAUCACCUUGCGGAAUUUCAUGGGAGAUUCGGCGCCAAAAAGUUACAACAUAAAAAAAAAGGUAAAGUCUUUUUGGAAACGCAGGGGUGGUGAAGUGGAAUCGGAGAGAGGAGAAGAAGGAACAGUCUCUGAUCAUGAAGUUCGUCUCUUCGCUUUCCCACGGUGCCACGCAAUGUGUUGGAAUAGUGGCAACGACCACUUCAAGUAGGGAAUCACCCAUGCCCGGAGGCUUGCUGCUGUAUGAUUUGCUGCUCAACUUGGAAAUUCAGUUCUGGGUUCAAACGCGACAACCUUUUGCAGGCUUUGAUGAAUCGGUCUCUCAUAAGAAGAAUAGACAGUUAAAGUUGCAACACAGCGGAUCUAGACGUGUGGAAUUUUCUUCUGCAUUAUGUCGUCUUUGACUAUUCGCUGAAAUCGCGAGGAAUUUGGUGGUGACGCGUCGUCCUACAAAGACUGUACCGUAGAAUCAAGCUAUAAAAACCGCAAACGUGAGCAGCAAGGCAUCUCGCAGCGUAUUUCUCGAUUUUCUGGCACAUCUUGAGCGAGCAACUCCAGUUUCCUUUCCUUGUAAGCAUGAAGAAGGCGACACUCUCAACUUGUGAAAACUGCAAGGGGAAGACUGACGCGCUCAAGAAGAUCAAAGGUAUAGCACAAUCUUUGCAUUGGAUCGCGGCCCUGAUUCCAUGAAAUCUCUGGUGCGGUUUUCCCAAUAGGGGUCGAUAAGGUGGAAUCGGAGUCGUCAGGCUGGUGGUGAUUGGAAAAUUUGAUGUGGACGACGUGCUAAAGGCGAUGGAUUGCCACCACAGUGUCCUUCGUUCCAUCGAGAACAAUUACGAGCCCCCCAAAAAGAAGGAAGCAGGCUCUAGCGUUAUAUAUGUGUACACCCACACCUACAACCAGUGGAAAACGUAUGAAACUAAAAAACGUAACGUUUUAAACGCGUUAAAAAACGCCGUUCUAAACUCCCAACGAGUUUGCACUAUUUGCGAAAAGAGACAAAGGUUUCUUUAGGGUUUCUUCAGAACUUCAUAAGGGAUCUCCCUCAUUGCUUUGCACGUUUUCACACCUCUUGCCCAAACUCCAGCACUCGCUCCGCUCCCCCAGUGUGAAUCUCAUGACAAUACUUACAUGUCCAGUGCCGCUCUGCUUGUAUCACAUGCUUCCAGCUCCAGCAUUCGUGGCGUCCUCCAAUUCCUGCCAUGAACCCUUAAAAAACCUCGCAGCAGUUUUUCCGAUUUCGAGCUAGCAGACCCAGCAGAUGCCGAUGAUGGGCAUCUGCUGCAGCAAGCCGCACAGGGUUCAGGGGGGCCAGCAGAAUCUAUGGUGGCAAGCACGGAGAACUGGUCCAGUGCUGAGACAAGCAGAUCAGCGAAACGGCUUCUUCUUUCAUUUGUUUUAGUAUGUUAUUCGGUUGGGUUUUAUAAACUUAAUAUUANNNNNNNNNNNNNNNNNNNNNNNNNNNNNNNNNNNNNNNNNNNNNNNNNNNNNNNNNNNNNNNNNNNNNNNNNNNNNNNNNNNNNNNNNNNNNNNNNNNNNNNNNNNNNNNNNNUUUGAACGUUUGCACGUCUAGCUGCAACUAUGACUGGAAGUGAGUUAAAUAGUGUUUGUGUGUAAAAAUAGAUUUUCUCUUCCACCUCAAAUUCUUGAAUGUGGAAUUCAUGGGAGUGAAGCCAAUUUCGAAAGUUGAUGUCUCAAUCAAGGGCAUUAAUUUAUCUCGGUUCAGAGUUCAAAAGUGAAUCUAAAACAUUGAUCCCACAGAAAGAAGAAAGAAAACGCACUGGUGCAUUUGACUGUAAAGGAAUGUGGUUCAUUCUUCACCUUGAACUUUGAGGAGAUUAAUUCUCUUCCUAAGAGUUUGAAAAUGAACGUGCGUCAUCACAUUUUAAAGAGUGGAACUCUGAAAAAAACCAUUUGUUUUAUUCCUCUCAACAGGAGGAGACUUGAACGAAGUCACUUUUCAAUUGCAGGAUAAAAAUGAUGUUUUGACGAAGUGAGUUCUUUACUAGAGCUGAGAGCCACAGUAUCAAACUAGAUUUAAUUUGUUUAGAAGAAUGUAUAAUGCUAUUCAAGCUUCAAAGUUUAGAAAAAUGGUCCGUGAACGUACACUGACCUUUCAAUCUUACCAUGGAUUUAAGCGAUCAAUGUAAGCUUCUUUGGUCUCCCAGCUAGAAUGGAUUUGACAAAGUUGAUGGCCAGUCGCGAUUGUGGUCCUUCUGGGUAAAAGUUUAAGUCAAGGACGCUUCUUUGGUCUCCCAGCAUGGGUUUUGUCAGCGAUUUCAAAAAGCUGCAACUCAUCAAAUGACGUCAAAUGUGAGGCACGAGAAAGGGAAGCCCAUGUGAAAGUCCAGUGUAUGCUCUGAAAACUUUCUAUACAAUGCAAGAGAGAAGCUUUGAAAUGGUCUUCGAUUUGGCAAUUUAGCGGUGGCUAAACUGUAGAAUCCAGCUAUAAAAACCGCCACAAAGUUCGAACGUGAGCAGCAAGGCAUCUCGCAGCGUGUUCUUCGGAGUUGCAAAGUCUCAGCAAAGGUUCAAGAAAAAAUCUCGAUCCAUUUUUCCUCCUUUUGCAAGCAUGAAGAAGGUGACACUCUCAACUUGUGGGAGCUGCGAGGGAAAGACUGAUGCGCUUAAGAAGAUCAAAGGUAUGUGGAUUGGAAAUUUGAAAGCUGAUAUCGUUUCUUGUUUUUGAACAACAGGGGUUGAUAAGGUGGAAUGGGAGUCGUCAAGCCUGGUAGUGAUCGGCAAAUUUGAUGUGGACGACGUGGUCAAGGCGAUGGAUUGCCACCACAGCAUUCUUCGUUCUGUCGAGAACGAUUAUGAGCCCCCAAAGAAGGACAAGGAGAAGAAGGGCGGUGGUUCUAGCGUUGUAUAUGUUUACACCCACACCUACAAUCACUACAAUUGCAAGUGAACUUCAGGAGUUUCUGAUCUAAAAGCCAAGUUCUUAGGGUUUCUUAUUUCGCAUACUUUAGUUUAAAAUUUAACCCUCAAUUUAACGUAAGGGUUUAAGGAUGGAAUUAAAUUUUCAAAACUUGAAUAUUUUUUGAUCAAACUGAUGAAUAAUGCCGGUGCUCAGCCGUAGUCAAUACGAUCGGUGUGGAGUUCUAGAAUAGUAAACUAGCAGAGUUUUUUCCUACCUUACCUUUCUUUAUGUUAUAAAAAACAACCAUCGAUUAACUGGUCCGAACUCACGGGAAACAGCUUUUUGGGGCCGAAAUUUCCACGAAAUUGUUCCCGCAAGGACAAUUAUGAGAGAGUAGAAGAAGGAACAUCAUGAAGUUCAUCCCACGGUGCCACGCAAUGUGUUGGAAUAGUGGCAACGACCACUUCAAGUAGGGAAUCACCCAUUUGCUGCUGUAUGAUUUGCUGCUCAACUUGGAAUCUAAGUUCUGGGUUCAAACGCGACAACCUUUUGCAGGCUUUGAUGAAUCGGUCUCUCAUAAGAAGAAUAGACAGUUAAAGUUGCAACACAGCGGAUCUAGACGUGUGGAAUUUUCUUCUGCAUUAUGUCGUCUUUGACUAUUCGCUGAAAUCGCGAGGAAUUUGGUGGUGACGCGUCGUCCUACAAAGACUGUACCGUAGAAUCAAGCUAUAAAAACCGCAAACGUGAGCAGCAAGGCAUCUCGCAGCGUAUUUCUCGAUUUUCUGGCACAUCUUGAGCGAGCAACUCCAGUUUCCUUUCCUUGUAAGCAUGAAGAAGGCGACACUCUCAACUUGUGAAAACUGCAAGGGGAAGACUGACGCGCUCAAGAAGAUCAAAGGUAUAGCACAAUCUUUGCAUUGGAUCGCGGCCCUGAUUCCAUGAAAUCUCUGGUGCGGUUUUCCCAAUAGGGGUCGAUAAGGUGGAAUCGGAGUCGUCAGGCUGGUGGUGAUUGGAAAAUUUGAUGUGGACGACGUGCUAAAGGCGAUGGAUUGCCACCACAGUGUCCUUCGUUCCAUCGAGAACAAUUACGAGCCCCCCAAAAAGAAGGAAGCAGGCUCUAGCGUUAUAUAUGUGUACACCCACACCUACAACCAGUGGAAAACGUAUGAAACUAAAAAACGUAACGUUUUAAACGCGUUAAAAAACGCCGUUCUAAACUCCCAACGAGUUUGCACUAUUUGCGAAAAGAGACAAAGGUUUCUUUAGGGUUUCUUCAGAACUUCAUAAGGGAUCUCCCUCAUUGCUUUGCACGUUUUCACACCUCUUGCCCAAACUCCAGCACUCGCUCCGCUCCCCCAGUGUGAAUCUCAUGACAAUACUUACAUGUCCAGUGCCGCUCUGCUUGUAUCACAUGCUUCCAGCUCCAGCAUUCGUGGCGUCCUCCAAUUCCUGCCAUGAACCCUUAAAAAACCUCGCAGCAGUUUUUCCGAUUUCGAGCUAGCAGACCCAGCAGAUGCCGAUGAUGGGCAUCUGCUGCAGCAAGCCGCACAGGGUUCAGGGGGGCCAGCAGAAUCUAUGGUGGCAAGCACGGAGAACUGGUCCAGUGCUGAGACAAGCAGAUCAGCGAAACGGCUUCUUCUUUCAUUUGUUUUAGUAUGUUAUUCGGUUGGGUUUUAUAAACUUAAUAUUAGAUUAAAGUGUCUUUAGUAAAUAUUAGUGUUUUCUUAAUCAUUUUAGGCUUUAACAUGUAAACGUUUGAUUGUCCUGAAAAAAACGUUUUAAACGGCAUUUAAACGUGGACGCGUUUGAACGUUUGCACGUCUAGCUGCAACUAUGACUGGAAGUGAGUUAAAUAGUGUUUGUGUGUAAAAAUAGAUUUUCUCUUCCACCUCAAAUUCUUGAAUGUGGAAUUCAUGGGAGGUGAAGCAAUUUCGAAAGUUGAUGUCUCAAUCAAGGGCAUUAAUUUAUCUCGGUUCAGAGUUCAAAAGUGAAUCUAAAACAUUGAUCCCACAGAAAGAAGAAAGAAAACGCACUGGUGCAUUUGACUGUAAAGGAAUGUGGUUCAUUCUUCACCUUGAACUUUGAGGAGAUUAAUUCUCUUCCUAAGAGUUUGAAAAUGAACGUGCGUCAUCACAUUUUAAAGAGUGGAACUCUGAAAAAAACCAUUUGUUUUAUUCCUCUCAACAGGAGGAGACUUGAACGAAGUCACUUUUCAAUUGCAGGAUAAAAAUGAUGUUUUGACGAAGUGAGUUCUUUACUAGAGCUGAGAGCCACAGUAUCAAACUAGAUUUAAUUUGUUUAGAAGAAUGUAUAAUGCUAUUCAAGCUUCAAAGUUUAGAAAAAUGGUCCGUGAACGUACACUGACCUUUCAAUCUUACCAUGGAUUUAAGCGAUCAAUGUAAGCUUCUUUGGUCUCCCAGCUAGAAUGGAUUUGACAAAGUUGAUGGCCAGUCGCGAUUGUGGUCCUUCUGGGUAAAAGUUUAAGUCAAGGACGCUUCUUUGGUCUCCCAGCAUGGGUUUUGUCAGCGAUUUCAAAAAGCUGCAACUCAUCAAAUGACGUCAAAUGUGAGGCACGAGAAAGGGAAGCCCAUGUGAAAGUCCAGUGUAUGCUCUGAAAACUUUCUAUACAAUGCAAGAGAGAAGCUUUGAAAUGGUCUUCGAUUUGGCAAUUUAGCGGUGGCUAAACUGUAGAAUCCAGCUAUAAAAACCGCCACAAAGUUCGAACGUGAGCAGCAAGGCAUCUCGCAGCGUGUUCUUCGGAGUUGCAAAGUCUCAGCAAAGGUUCAAGAAAAAAUCUCGAUCCAUUUUUCCUCCUUUUGCAAGCAUGAAGAAGGUGACACUCUCAACUUGUGGGAGCUGCGAGGGAAAGACUGAUGCGCUUAAGAAGAUCAAAGGUAUGUGGAUUGGAAAUUUGAAAGCUGAUAUCGUUUCUUGUUUUUGAACAACAGGGGUUGAUAAGGUGGAAUGGGAGUCGUCAAGCCUGGUAGUGAUCGGCAAAUUUGAUGUGGACGACGUGGUCAAGGCGAUGGAUUGCCACCACAGCAUUCUUCGUUCUGUCGAGAACGAUUAUGAGCCCCCAAAGAAGGACAAGGAGAAGAAGGGCGGUGGUUCUAGCGUUGUAUAUGUUUACACCCACACCUACAAUCACUACAAUUGCAAGUGAACUUCAGGAGUUUCUGAUCUAAAAGCCAAGUUCUUAGGGUUUCUUAUUUCGCAUACUUUAGUUUAAAAUUUAACCCUCAAUUUAACGUAAGG
This 7110-nucleotide long non-coding RNA is filed under the name Selaginella moellendorffii. RNAcentral's name for it is "long non-coding RNA (SMOE_LNC001501)". The record is from RNAcentral. Lineage: Eukaryota; Viridiplantae; Streptophyta; Lycopodiopsida; Selaginellales; Selaginellaceae.